CUCUCUCUCACUUCCCACCCUCUCUCGACCGAAACCCUAAGUGGGAGGAGGGUGGCGGCGUCUCUUCGUCGCCCGUCGCUCGGAGCUCCGGUCGGCGCCUCCCUUGCGUCGCCGGAGAUUCUGAUGUCCUCCUUCACAAACCCUUGGUCUCAAUUUCUCCUUAAACAAAAAUCCCCAAAUUUCAAAACCCUAUGCUUUGAAGAAGAAGGCGGCGGAGCACUCCACCGUCGUCUCUGCUCCAUUUUCUCGGCGAUUUAGCGCCGUCGCCGACGUCUCCGGCUGUGGUAGACGCGGCUUGACCCGCCUUGAAGACCAGCUCCGCCACCGCUUCAUUCUUGACUAGUGGAGCCGCCGAUAGGGAGGAGGCAUCGCCCUUCUCUUACGCCGACUGUCACCGACGCGAAGUCAACCGCCGACGCUCUGCUGCCGGCGCCACCGGCGACUCGUGCCGCCGCCUUCCGUCGGCGUCACGGAGAAACUCUCCGCCUCCCGUCGCACCAUCGCCGGACAAUCUCUCUAAAAGCUAAGUUCCAUUACCCCUUUCAUUUCUUAGCCCUUUUGAUUAAACUGAGGCAGUAGCUAUGUGCGUUUAAAACUUUGAUUUUGGAGUGUAACUCACUGGAAUGAGCUUGAGAAGAUUAACUUGCUUAUGUUAAGUGUUGUUUUUGAACGGUUAUAGUUUGCUACUGCAAUUUUAGCAUGAGGGCAGCCUAUUGUGCUCUUGUUCCAUUUAUGAGUUAAAGCUUUUCAAAGGCUACUACUGCUAUGAGAUUUCUAAAGCUCUGAUUCUAUGUUCUUGAGCCAUCAUGGAGUUCUAAACAAGGGCAGAGGGUGUGCUUGUGUUAUAUUGAUUGUGGUUCUUAAUUUGUGGUGCCUCUAUAUGAUGACAUGAGAAUUUGAUUGGGAGAAAAGGAUGGAGGUGUAUUACCUCUGAAAUUCGAAGGAGUGGCUGACUUGCUGCUGCUCACUACUUGCUCUACCCUCUAACUCUCUGUUUUUGCUGAAUUUUGAAGUGUGUGUGAAAGGAGUUGGUGUGUGGUGUGGAGGGGCCUUUAUAGGCCGAGCUUUGGUGUACUCUUGAGCCUUAAAUGGCUGCUGUACCAUUUGUUGCUAUGUGGCAGAAAAUCUCACCUUUAGUGAUCCUUAUGCAGCACUCUUUAACUGAGAAUUGGUGGUAUUCUAAGGACAUAAGGACUAUGCAUUCAUGUUAUUUGUUGUCUUUCUUUUCUUUUUGCAGGGGCUUGUUGGGGGAUCAAUAGCUGCAGCUGCCCUUGCCUCUUUUGGCAAGGUAUUUUGGUCUAUAUUUGAAAGGUGCUCAACAGAGGUGAUGGCUCGUACUUGGUUCGUAUUAAACCAGAAGGGCCGAGAAAGGGCUUGGGCCUGAGGAGGAAGUCCAAAAGUGGAAGCUGCACAAAAAAAAGUCCCUCUUCCAAGCUCUAGGCCCAUACUUGUAUAAUUUGUACUAGCAUUCAAAUUUUCUUUUUCUUAAACUCAUAACUCACAUGUAUUUAAUUAUGUAAGCUAAAGUGUAAUUUGGAAAGUAGUUGCACUUUCUUAGCUAGAAAAUGAACUCUUCAUAUUCUUCCUUGUUAGAUAGGUAUCGUAAAUGAAAUGGAAAAGCUUUGGUUCA
Long non-coding RNA from Salvia hispanica, 1630 nucleotides. RefSeq lists it as uncharacterized. The record is from RefSeq and is a predicted model, not a curated record. NCBI's taxonomy places the organism in Eukaryota, Viridiplantae, Streptophyta, Magnoliopsida, Lamiales, Lamiaceae.